AUGUGUUUCUAUUUUCUUGCAGUAGUUGUCGGUCAAAAAACGAAAAAUAUACGAUGCUCGGAGUACGAAAAUCUGGCAACGCUGCAGUGUGAGGGCGGGGCGGCGGGCAGCGGGCGAGUGGAAGCAACAGGGUGAGGGUGGUUGGUGUGCGUCUCCGGUGCUGCUGCUGUCGGUGAUUGUGGCUGUGAAGUGUUACAUAAGCGUACAGAAAGUCUCCACUGUCUUGAUGCCGGAGCAGAGGGCGGGGCUUCGGUCGUCUCGUCAUUCCGUCCGCCUCUCCCAGCACCAGGAAACGCAAGGAGGACUACUCAAGCCUUACCUGGCGCUUCAGGACCGUCGCCGCCGCUGCUCCUCGGUGGUGCCUGUCGCCGAGAUGGCCAGAAAACUUUUCCCAGUCUACUGUUGUUCAGCAUCAAGAUAAAUUAGGACCAUUCAUCGCCCGCCCUGACAGGACUUGACCCCAACACUCACGGUGGGUGCUGCCCAGUCCUAAUUUUUCACGGCGCUGUGUAACAGUAGGCCGAGACACUCAUCAACUCGAGGAGGAGUCUCGACCGGUUUAUACAGAUAAGGAAGCGGCCUACGCAGACCCCCUCGCGGCUGGUCGCCUCUUCCCGACCUGUGGAGUAAAUGAAAAACUUCGGGCGCAGGGUGGCGUGAGGCGGCUGUCGACGAGGCUAGGACUCCUUAAGUUGAAGGAGUCACUGGACUGUCU
Molecule: long non-coding RNA, 715 nt
Organism: Eriocheir sinensis (Chinese mitten crab)
Lineage: Eukaryota; Metazoa; Arthropoda; Malacostraca; Decapoda; Varunidae
Exons: 5
Source: RefSeq, a predicted model, not a curated record